RNAcentral lists this transfer RNA (71 nucleotides) under Daphnia magna. It matches the Rfam family "tRNA". Rfam says of the family: Transfer RNA (tRNA) molecules are approximately 80 nucleotides in length. Their secondary structure includes four short double-helical elements and three loops (D, anti-codon, and T loops). Lineage: Eukaryota; Metazoa; Arthropoda; Branchiopoda; Diplostraca; Daphniidae. The record is from Rfam by way of RNAcentral.
GACUUAUAGCUCAAUGGUUGAGCAUCGGCAUUGUUUAUCGAUAAUACAGGGUUCAACUCCUGUUGAAGUUA